This 219-nucleotide long non-coding RNA is filed under the name Mytilus galloprovincialis (Mediterranean mussel). Lineage: Eukaryota; Metazoa; Mollusca; Bivalvia; Mytilida; Mytilidae. The record is from RNAcentral.
UAGGAUUUUUUCAAUAAAAAAAAAUCAUCAGGUUUAAAGUAUUAAAAUGCAUUGUUAAAACGAAUAUUUCAUCAAUGAAAUUCCAGUCAGAUAUUCUCAUGAAUAACCUGUUUAUAUUAGGUACAACUUUUAUUAAGUCUGAUUCUCAUUUGUCUUAGGCAAGACGUUUUAACUGAGGCACUACACAGGCGUCAAAAGGCGUCAUUAUGGAGUAAAGGG